This 462-nucleotide ribosomal RNA is filed under the name uncultured bacterium. RNAcentral's name for it is "partial 16S ribosomal RNA". It matches the Rfam family "Bacterial small subunit ribosomal RNA", at positions 28 to 507 of the family's 1533-position model. The record is from RNAcentral.
GACGAACGCUGGCGGCGUGCUUAACACAUGCAAGUCGAACGGAAAGGCCCUUCGGGGUACUCGAUUGGCGAACGGGUGAGUAACACGUGGGUGAUCUGCCCUGCACUUUGGGAUAAGCCUGGGAAACUGGGGCUAAUACUGAAGAGGACCACGCGCGUCAUGGUGUGUGGUGUAAAGCUUUUGCGGUGUGGGAUGGGACCGCGGCCAAUCAGCUUGUUGGUGGGGUAAUGGCCUACCAAGGCGACGACGGGUAGCCGACCUGAGAGGGUGACCGGCCACACUGGGACUGCGAUACGGCCCAGACUCCUACGGGAGGCAGCAGUGGGGAAUAUUGCACAAUGGGCGCAAGCCUGAUGCAGAGACGCCGCGUGAGGGAUGACGGCCUUCGGGUUGUAAACCUCUUUCACCAGAGACGAAGCGUAAGUGACGUUACCUGGAGAAGAAGCACCGGCUAACUACGUG